CAGUAGCCGCGGUAAAACGUAGGGUCCGAGCGUUGUCCGGAAUUAUUGGGCGUAAAGGGCUCGUAGGCGGUUUGUCGCGUCGGGAGUGAAAACUCAGGGCUCAACCCUGAGCGUGCUUUCGAUACGGGCAGACUAGAGGUAUGCAGGGGAGAACGGAAUUCCUGGUGUAGCGGUGGAAUGCGCAGAUAUCAGGAGGAACGCCGGUGGCGAAGGCGGUUCUCUGGGCAUUACCUGACGCUGAGGAGCGAAAGCAUGGGGAGCGAACAGGAUUAGAUACCCCUGUAGUCCCUGUCUCUUAUAC
Molecule: ribosomal RNA, 301 nt
Filed under: uncultured bacterium
Lineage: Bacteria
Description: partial 16S ribosomal RNA
Rfam family: Bacterial small subunit ribosomal RNA
Source: RNAcentral